GGAUACCUUGUUAAGGAAAGGCGAAGGAUAGAGUCAAUCAAACAGAAGUAUUUCCGGCAGCAUGGUGGCAUGCUUCUAUUUGAAGAAAUGAAGUCACAACAAGGAGUUUCUUUCAAGAUAUUUUCAGAAGAGGAGCUACAACAAGCCACUGACAAGUUUGACGAGAAGCACAUCAUCGGCUACGGAGGACAUGGCACCGUCUACAGGGCGCUUCUCGACAGUGGCGUCGAGGUGGCCGUCAAGAGAUGCAAGACCAUCAACGAGAAGAACAAGAAAGAGUUCGGCCAGGAGAUGUUGAUCCUAUCUCAGAUAAACCACAGGAACAUCGUCAAGUUGUUGGGAUGCUGCCUCGAGGUUGAAGUGCCCACGCUGGUGUACGAGUUCGUCCGGGAUGGCACGUUGUACCAACUCAUCCAUGGUAGCCCCAUCAAGCGCAUCUCCCUAGCAGCUCGUCUGCAGAUUGCCCACGAUUCCGCUGAAGCUCUCGCCUACCUGCACUCUUGGGCGUCGCCGCCCAUCCUCCACGGCAACGUCAAGUCCUCCAACAUCCUCCUCGACGGCGGUCACACUGCCAAGGUCUCCGACUUCGGUGCCUCCAUCCUGGCACCAUCAGACGAGUCGCAGUUCGUCACGCUUGUGCAAGGAACCUGUGGCUACCUCGACCCGGAGUACUUGUGUACAUGCCAAUUGACAGAUAAGAGUGACGUGUAUAGUUUUGGGGUCGUUCUUGUGGAGUUGCUCACCCGCAAGAAGGCGUUCAACCUCGAAGCCCCUGAAAAUGAGAAGACUAUAUCUAUGAUGUUUUUGGAUGCCAUGAAAGAAGGACUCGUGGAGAUAUUGGACGAUCAGGUCAAGGACAUCGAGAGCACCGAAAUUGUUGAAGAGAUCGCAGAGGUAGUGCGACAGUGCUUGGAGAUGUGCGGCGACAACAGGCCAUCCAUGAAGGAAGUCGCGGACAAACUAGGCCAUUUGCGGAAGGUUCUGCAACAUCCAUGGGCGGAGCAGAGUCAUGAAGACACAGAGAGCUUGCUUGGGGUGUCGCCGUACGAGGCUCACUCCCCGGGGUUUGUUGGCAGCACAGGAAAUUUCUCCGUUGACAAGGAAGCUGCCAUGAGCCUAGGAUUCGGGCGUUAA
This 1134-nucleotide ribosomal RNA is filed under the name Triticum aestivum (bread wheat). RNAcentral describes it as "partial small subunit ribosomal RNA". Lineage: Eukaryota; Viridiplantae; Streptophyta; Magnoliopsida; Poales; Poaceae. The record is from RNAcentral.